CCGCCACCUGGUGUCGAGGCCGCGCUCUCGAACGGAUGUCUCCCAGGUCACCCAGGUUCUGAGGGCGGAGACAGCGCCUUGGGCUCCAGAUGAGGAAUUGGGGGCAGAAGAAAGUUAAGUUACCUGCUCAAGGUCACACAGCUCAUGAGGAAACUGAGGCCCAGGAGUGUUCAGUCACUUUCCCAAGACCACCCAACCAAUAACUGGCAGGCCUGGGGCUCGAAACCAGUUCUGGAAGUCAUGUCUGAAAUGAGCCUCAGGGGGCUAAAAUCAAGGUGCCAGCAGGGCUGUUUCCUUCUGGAGGCUCCAGGGAGAAUCUCUUCUCUGCGUCUUCCAGCGUCUGGAAGCUGUCCACAUUCCUGGGCUCGUGGCUGCUUCAUGCAAUCUCUGCUUCCAUCAUCACAUCUCCUUCUCUGACUCCGACUCUUCUGCCUCCCUCUUAUAAGGACCCUUGCGAUGACAGUGGACCACCAGGAUAAUCCAGAAUAAUAUCCCCAUCUCAAGAUCUUUAAUUUAGUCACACCUGCCAAGUCUCCUUUACCAUGGAAGGGAGCACAUCCCGGGGAUUAAGUCAUGGGUGUCUUUAGGGGAGGUGGGCAUUAUUCAGGCUCCCACACUAGAUAAAGCAGAUGCAGGGGUCUCAGUCUCCUAUGGAAUUCCUUCAGGAAGCAAAUCCUGGGGUGCCUUUGGGGAGAGCUCCCCUUUGCACUCACUCUCUCCCCCUCUCCACAGCACCUCAGUUGAACUGAUCACCAUUUCUAGUUAAAUCAUUAUUGACUGUUUACAUUAUUACGACUAUGUCAUAGAGUUCACAGCUGGGCCAGGUAGUGACCUACAGCUACAUUUUCUUUCUGCUAUGGGCUUGUUUUUCCUAAGGUUAAUAACUGCUUUGUCUUUCAUUGGCUUACUUUUCUAUGCACUUGUCAACAUUUCAUUCCCAGAUUCUGACAUAACCAUGAAACUCUCACCAUGAUCAACCACCCCGGAGAAUCAUCCUCAUGACACUCAAAAGAACCUCACGGGUCACCUUGGAAGGACGCUGAGGAACUGACCCCUUUUUUUGAAAACUGAUAAAUAAUGGAAAGAA
Molecule: non-coding RNA, 1087 nt
Organism: Equus caballus (horse)
Lineage: Eukaryota; Metazoa; Chordata; Mammalia; Perissodactyla; Equidae
Source: RefSeq, a predicted model, not a curated record